This 94-nucleotide ribosomal RNA is filed under the name Hylonycteris underwoodi. RNAcentral describes it as "partial 16S ribosomal RNA". Lineage: Eukaryota; Metazoa; Chordata; Mammalia; Chiroptera; Phyllostomidae. The record is from RNAcentral.
AAGGCCUCCUUAAAANUAAGUGCCUUAUAGCUAAACAGAUGAUACCCUCUCAAUCUGUUGCGCAAAACUAUAUCAUUUCCCCAGACCAGGGGUC